Molecule: ribosomal RNA, 494 nt
Filed under: uncultured bacterium
Lineage: Bacteria
Description: partial 16S ribosomal RNA
Rfam family: Bacterial small subunit ribosomal RNA
Source: RNAcentral
GACGAACGCUGGCGGCGUGCUUAACACAUGCAAGUCGAACGGUGAAGCGCCUUCCUUUUUGGUGGGUGUGGAUGAGUGGCGAACGGGUGAGUAACACGUGAGUAACCUGCCCCCUUCUUCUGGAUAACCGCAUGAAAGUGUGGCUAAUACGGGAUAUUCUGGGUCUGUCGCAUGAUGGGUCUGGGAAAGAUAUUGUUUCGGUGGGGGAUGGGCUCGCGGCCUAUCAGCUUGUUGGUGGGGUGAUGGCCUACCAAGGCGGUGACGGGUAGCCGGCCUGAGAGGGUGGACGGUCACACUGGGACUGAGACACGGCCCAGACUCCUACGGGAGGCAGCAGUGGGGAAUAUUGCACAAUGGGCGCAAGCCUGAUGCAGCGACGCCGCGUGAGGGAUGGAGGCCUUCGGGUUGUGAACCUCUUUCGCCAGUGAAGCAGGCCUGCCUCGUUUGUGGGUGGGUUGACGGUAGCUGGAUAAGAAGCGCUGGCUAACUACGUG